GGGUUGUGAGGUUAAGCGACUAAGCGUACACGGUGGAUGCCCUGGCAGUCAGAGGCGAUGAAGGGCGUGCUAAUCUGCGAUAAGCGCCGGUAAGGUGAUAUGAACCGUUAUAACCGGCGAUACCCGAAUGGGGAAACCCAGUGUGACUCGUCACACUAUCAUUAACUGAAUCCAUAGGUUAAUGAGGCGAACCGGGGGAACUGAAACAUCUAAGUACCCCGAGGAAAAGAAAUCAACCGAGAUUCCCCCAGUAGCGGCGAGCGAACGGGGAGGAGCCCAGAGCCUGAAUCAGCAUGUGUGUUAGUGGAAGCGUCUGGAAAGGCGCGCGAUACAGGGUGACAGCCCCGUACACAAAAGCGCAUGUGCUGUGAGCUCGAUGAGUAGGGCGGGACACGUGGUAUCCUGUCUGAAUAUGGGGGGACCAUCCUCCAAGGCUAAAUACUCCUGACUGACCGAUAGUGAACCAGUACCGUGAGGGAAAGGCGAAAAGAACCCCGGCGAGGGGAGUGAAAAAGAACCUGAAACCGUGUACGUACAAGCAGUGGGAGCCCCACCACCAAAGCAUUUGCUGUACCGCGUUGACGGAGCGAAGCGACGUCAAACCGAUAAAACAGCAGU
RNAcentral lists this ribosomal RNA (618 nucleotides) under Salmonella enterica subsp. enterica serovar Enteritidis. RNAcentral's name for it is "partial 23S ribosomal RNA". It matches the Rfam family "Bacterial large subunit ribosomal RNA", at positions 1 to 584 of the family's 2925-position model. Lineage: Bacteria; Pseudomonadati; Pseudomonadota; Gammaproteobacteria; Enterobacterales; Enterobacteriaceae. The record is from RNAcentral.